This 253-nucleotide ribosomal RNA is filed under the name uncultured bacterium. RNAcentral's name for it is "partial 16S ribosomal RNA". It matches the Rfam family "Bacterial small subunit ribosomal RNA", at positions 524 to 776 of the family's 1533-position model. The record is from RNAcentral.
UACGUAGGGUGCAAGCGUUGUCCGGAAUUAUUGGGCGUAAAGAGCUCGUAGGCGGUUUGUCGCGUCUGCUGUGAAAACUCGGGGCUUAACCCCGGGCCUGCAGUGGGUACGGGCAGACUAGAGUGCGGUAGGGGAGACUGGAAUUCCUGGUGUAGCGGUGAAAUGCGUAGAUAUCGGGAGGAACACCAGUGGCGAAGGCGGCUUCCUGGACCGGUUCUGACACUGAGGAGCGAAAGCGUGGGGAGCGAUCCGG